GCUACCAUGCAGUCGAGGGGUAGGGUUACUUCGGUAAUCUGAGACCCCCGCACGGGUGCGUAACGCGUAUGCAAUCUACCUUUUACUAUGGGAUAGCCCAGAGAAAUUUGGAUUAAUACCAUAUAGUAUAUUUGAAUGGCAUCGUUUGAAUAUUAAAGAUUUAUCGGUAAAAGAUGAGCAUGCGUCCCAUUAGUUAGUUGGUGUGGUAACGGCAUACCAAGACGAUGAUGGGUAGGGGUCCUGAGAGGGAGAUCCCCCACACUGGUACUGAGACACGGACCAGACUCCUACGGGAGGCAGCAGUAAGGAAUAUUGGUCAAUGGAGGCAACUCUGAACCAGCCAUGCCGCGUGCAGGAUGACGGUCCUAUGGAUUGUAAACUGCUUUUGUACGGGAAUAAAACAAACUACGAGUAGUUAAUUGACGGUACCGUAAGAAUAAGGAUCGGCUAACUCCGUGCCAGCAGCCGCGGUAAUACGGAGGAUCCAAGCGUUAUCCGGAAUCAUUGGGUUUAAAGGGUCCGUANGCGGCCUUAUAAGUCAGUGGUGAAAGUUUUUGGCUUACCC
RNAcentral lists this ribosomal RNA (565 nucleotides) under uncultured Flavobacterium sp. RNAcentral's name for it is "bacterial SSU rRNA". It matches the Rfam family "Bacterial small subunit ribosomal RNA", at positions 50 to 614 of the family's 1533-position model. The record is from RNAcentral. Lineage: Bacteria; Pseudomonadati; Bacteroidota; Flavobacteriia; Flavobacteriales; Flavobacteriaceae.